Neodiprion virginianus is the source of this 5275-nucleotide long non-coding RNA. RefSeq lists it as uncharacterized. The transcript is spliced from 2 exons. The record is from RefSeq and is a predicted model, not a curated record. NCBI's taxonomy places the organism in Eukaryota, Metazoa, Arthropoda, Insecta, Hymenoptera, Diprionidae.
CGCUUCUUUCUCUUCCCCCGACUCAAACAGGUUCCGAAAGAACGGCACCGCGGCUCGAUCCAGGCCAUUCAAGAGACCGUGACGAGGCACCUUGACUGGGGUUCACCUUAAAAUCGACCUACACUCCGAAAACUCUAAGGCGAUUGGGGACCGGUGCACUGCUUAUUGUUAGUUAAAACUCCCCACAACCCGACCCACGCGAAAAGGUCUCCCUCCGUCGCUGUCUGGGCGGAAAAAGUUCAGUCAAAUUACUUUCCGGACAGACCCUGUAAUGUGGAAGAUAUCGUUUGAGUGUUUGAUGAAAAUGAACAGGUUGAUGGGAUUUACCCCAACAUGAAGUCGAUGUAGUAAAUCACGGUAUAUUGUAAACUAAAAUAUAAGUCCAUGGCAUUGCUGGAUGCUCGUUGGAAUAGGUCAAAUUCUAUCUUAUGGGACACAAAUACCGGGUUAAAAACGAGACUGAAGUUAGUAACGUUAACAUAACGAAACUAUUUUUUGUUUAUCGUGGUUUACUAAAAUUCAAACAAUCCCAAAUGUGCGAAAUAACAAUUUUUCCUAAACAUGUAUUGUUACUGUAACCUUACUAACUUCACCCUUAUGGUUAAAAUGAGUUGUAAUAAUUCUAACGAAUAUGAGGCGCCGUUAGAGACUCCGCAAGGUACGCAAUGUGGCACUGUAUUUUUUUAAUGUAAUAGUUAAGGACGUUUGUCCGGUUGUCGAACACUCCAAAGUGUUGCUCUAUGCGGAUAAUUUGAAAGUGUGUGGAGACUUUAGGACUACGGCGGAUUCCCUGAUGCUGCAGGUCGAUUUAAAUAUUAUCGAGUACUGGUGCGAGCAAAUGGUUUGACUUUCAAUGUGAAAAAGUGCAGGGUAAUUACUUUCUGUCGUCUGAACAGUUAUUUUCAUUCUAAUUGUAAGUAUUGCAUUAGCUACCGUUAGGGAUGUUGGUUAGGUCGAACCUUACUUACGCUUCGUUAAUUAAGUUACCGAAUUAGGAUUUGCACUCUAGUAUACUGAAAAUGUUAUAAAUCGGUGUUAAAUCAUAAAAUGUCUUGAAAGAAUUCAGUGUGUAAUUGAUGACAUGAUUUAUUUUGUAAAUUCGAUAAAAUAUGAAAGAAAUCACAUAAUAAAUUACAAACGUACAAAUCAUCAGGUAUGCUAGAUCAAAAUUCAUGACGUUCACUAUAAUAGUUGAUUAUAUGAUUUUUGAUGUAGUAUAUCUAUUAGUAGGGAAGGAAAUAAAGUCUAUCCAACACCGAUUUCUGCAACAUCUAGCAUUUAGUUUUGGCUUCUCCUCUAUGCACCGUUUUUACUAUAAUUAUUAGGACGUUGCGUUGCAGGAUUAUUAGGAGACAAGCGAUAUUCGCUCCCCAAAGUACUUUAGGGCUUACCAGGAUUUGUUCUACUUAUUUGAAAUUUUCAGGAACCUGGUGGAUGCUGCGGGAUUAGCGUAAAGGCUAAACUUAUCUUCUCCAAGUAGGCUUCUGCACGUUAAUCAUAAUAUUCUUAGCAUUAGAAUGCAUAAGAGUGACGUAAAUCAUCGAUCACGAUCAGUUACAGAUCGCUUAAGUAUGUUGCCAAACAUGAAUGCGCAUUGGCUCAAUCUUACUUCAACAUCCAUCUCAGAUUUCAAACGAUGGCGCGAGAUGCACUUUUUAGUUUCGAAUUAUCUAGAUUGGCAUGCUAUUAUUGCACCCAUUUUGUGGUACUUGUCAUAAUUCUUCAGUCAUUCACUGUGUAUGUCAGGGUAAUUUCUUGACUAUUAUAUCUUUGUAAAAAGGCAUUACCCAUGCAUAAUAAAUGAAUAAAUAAAGAUUUAUUUUUAUGGGACUCAAACUUAAUAGUUCAAUUUUCAAAUCGCAAAAAAGAAGCUGUAUACCAAAAUUUGGUGAAUUAUGUGUACUUUGAGAGUAAUAUGAUCAAUAAUAUUGGAUUUUUUCCCCAUUUCUUAUCACCAAGUUUGAUAGAAAUUGAUUUCAAUUAAAUUUUUGCACAAAACUCUAAUUGCAAAUCCCAAUCAAUCCCAAAAAAAAGCUCCAUAUCUACACAAAAUACAUAACAGACCAGAUUUAGCCUCAUAAACAGAAGUCGAGCAACACUUCAGGAACUUUCUAAGAUCAUUGUACACUACAGUUCAUUUUAUUGAGUACUAAGAGUGAAUGAGAAGAUGAAGUUCCUAAUAAACGAUGUAAUAAUUCAUGUACUCAAACAUUAUCUGAGGGCAGAUUUGCAGACGUUGCGAAUAAGUCGAUGAUAUAAAAAGUAGAAUUUACUCAACUGGGUGUUUUUAUUUCAGAAAUUUCGCCAUGAGCAACGGUCUCGUGAAUUUUCCUUCCUACACCGGAGCAACGCUUUGCAGUCUCUGCAUUUACAAGGACGCUGCAGCGGACGGCACUGACAAACAUAUUUGCAGCGGCCUAACAGACUCUGGACUUGUUCAGGGCGGUCAGUUACAGAGACCCAUUAGUAGUGGCAAUAGCACCAGCAGCAAUAGCAGCGAAACUUCGGAAAAUCAACAUAUCGCCAUGUCACCUCUGCAAUAAAUCUGCAUGUAGAUACGCGAAACCUAAAUAUUUAAUUGUAAGUUAGUAACGUUGUUGCGUCAAGAUUAACGUUUCGGAAAAUCAUUAUUUCACAAUUGCAGCAAUGUCUGAAAUUCAGUAAAUCAUAAUAAAGCAAAAUGUAUUCAUACUUUGAAAUCCUAAUUACUUCAAAGUCAUUAGAAACUUGCUAACCAGUAACCCCCACCCCCCCACCCCCCCCGGCCCCAUCUUCGUUACGUCAACGUUACGAACUUUAGCUUCAUAAAUAUCACACUUUCGAACAUGUUUGAAAGUCAACCACAUCCAUUUUUGUUUGCAAUAUUAUGGAUGCUAAAUUCUCGGAGAUGAAAAACUAUUUAUCAAAUAUUUGAUGUAUGAAAAUUAUUCCUUGGUAAAAAUGUGUUGCGUGAAAUGAUGUCUGAAGAAUUUAGUUUUACAACAUCGAUCAUGAAGAGAUUGAUUUUAUGAUAUUUGCCAAGCGGAUUUAAACGUUGACAUGCAAUCAAUAUGGCCAAUGUUAGUCACAUUAUGUAUUAAUAUUUACUUUGGCUUUGGGCUGAUUUUGGGCACUCGUUAGAUAUGUCAAUGCAAAGAGAAUAACAGGUAGAUAUCUGCAGCUGAAGUGUGAUUUCACGUUAAGCUCAAUUUUCAUAACUUCAAAUUCUGUCCAAAUUAGGUGUACGUGUGUAUAGUAUGCAAAAAGCGAAAUGCGAAUAGAAGCGGGUAUGAUUGGAUCUUACGGACACGUAUUAGUCCUUUUCACUCACCGUAGACACGAGAAUAGAGGAGGGAUCCUAUUUAGUAAAAUUGGCAGCCGAAUUUUUCACGAUCUUUAUUGACGAAGACCAGACGCAAAACUUGUUGACACUUUGUCAGGAAAACAAAAUGACUGCCACAGAAAUAUUUGCCAAAACUUCCGGGUGGGAUGAUUAAUUAAAUUAUCAACUAGAUUUCACACUAUUACAGUACACAUAUUGGGUUGCAGGUGAUCCGUGUUCGUGCAAUUAGAUGAAUAUCCUCAACACAAGCUAAUUACUAAUUACAUACUUGAUAAUUCCCCGUUCGACCCAGAUUUCUCCACGGAAAUUGCUGAAGAAAAAAUGAGUGUAAAGUGAUCAUAAUAGCAUGUUAUUCUUAUGGCGAAAAAAGGGGCACGGCAAGGAGUUGAGAUGAAUAUCAGAAACUAAUUAGCGAAUUGUUUUAGAAUUAUUUGAAGUCAAUUUGGAGGGCGGUGCGGGAAAAAUUCGCCGAUACCCUAAAUAAGGACUAUCAUAACGUGUAGUACAUACGUCAUUACACUCAAAAUAUCACUGACGGUACGGUACACUUUGGAUAAAUUAUGAAGGAGACUGUAUAUAGUAUAUAUAUAUAUGUAUGAAAAAUUGCAAUCGCUGAUAGAGUGUAACGUAUUUGAAAACUUACUGUAGAUGCAUUAUCUGCGGUCGCUUUACCACUCGUGGCCAAUAAAAAAAUUAAAUGAAUUCUUUAUUGUAAUUUUGAAUCCAUUCAAUUGUUUAAUUUGUUACUAAAACUCUACUUUAACUAAGUCGUAGCCGUAAGUUUUUAAUACUUGAUAUACUCUGUAGUUUAAAAUUUGGUGUUUAUUUAGAUCAAUUCGAUCACAUGUAACGAAUAUGCCAUAACUAAUUUAAAUGAUGGCGUAAUUUGUAAGAUAAUAGAAGGCGGUAGAUCUACCUUAGCUAUGGCAAAUUCAUGAAAAAGAUCAGUUCAGACCGCCAGGCUCUGAGAAGUGGGUUUCAAUUUAAAAAUGGUAUCACUGAUUAUAUUUUUCCCUCAACUAUUUAUAUUAAUGCCAAAGAGAUGUUUUGUACUAUAUUUUGUCUCGACAUGCCUAUGGCAGUUUUCAUUUUACGAUUGCCGUGAUUACGAUUGUUAGAUAUUUCAUGGUUUUUCAAUUUGUCACAGGAUUAAAAACUGCAAAAAUUCAUAAGCUCGAUGACACUUACAACAGGAAAUAUGAGCGAGGAUAUCAAGAAUGAGCAUGUAUGCUCCGAGUAAAUUUUCCAAAGGGUCAUCAACUUGAAUUUAAAUAUAAAUGAUAGAAAUAAAACAAUAAUUAAAAUUUUAUUUGAAAUAUAAAAAACAAAGGACAUCCAAAGAAAGUAUGUAAUAGUGGCUAAUUCAAAAACUAUUUUCGCAGAAAAUUUCCGACAAGAUAUCAAAAUCGAAAACGAGAAAAAUGUCUAGACUUUAUAACUCAUUCAUCUCACAUAAAGUACUGCAUAUAUCUUACAAUAGAUACAAGUGAAGUCUGUAAUUGGUAUGUUCUUUUCUUUAAUUUGAACCUGAAGUCAAUUCCACCAAAUAUUUGUUUCUCACAUGUCAGAUGUAAGGCACCCUCGUCUCGGUAUUUUUACUGAAAAUUGCUUCGACUAAGUCGUAACUUAGAAAUAAGGUGAAAAUCUCCUUCUAACUGCGACGAUAGUUAGAUAUCCAGAUAGAAUUAUAACAUCGAUAUUCUUGUAUUAUAUAUUAUAUGUAUAAUGAAUAAAAUAUAUAUACAUAUAUAUAUCAAACUAUAAUAUUUAUGACGGAACUAAUAUUUCCUCUACAACACACUAUUUUUUUUAGACAUGAUUAUUACGAAACAGAGUACCUUGUACAUUUACCAUGGCAAAAAACGUUGGAUUAUGAAAAACUUUUGAAUUGAUCUAAAAAAAAAAAAAAAAAAACACGUUUGGAAACUCUAAAAAAAAAUUUACAAGAAUUUU